Molecule: ribosomal RNA, 506 nt
Filed under: uncultured bacterium
Lineage: Bacteria
Description: partial 16S ribosomal RNA
Rfam family: Bacterial small subunit ribosomal RNA
Source: RNAcentral
GAUGAACGCUAGCUACAGGCUUAACACAUGCAAGUCGAGGGGUAACAAGAGGAAAGCUUGCUUUUCUUGUUGACGACCGGCGCACGGGUGAGUAACGCGUAUCCAACCUGCCUAUAACUAGGGAAUAACCUUGCGAAAGUAAGACUAAUACCCUAUGAUUUCCUUUGAUGACAUCAGAUUAGGAAUAAAGAUUUAUCGGUUAUAGAUGGGGAUGCGUCUGAUUAGCUUGUUGGCGGGGUAACGGCCCACCAAGGCAACGAUCAGUAGGGGUUCUGUGAGGAAGGUCCCCCACAUUGGAACUGAGACACGGUCCAAACUCCUACGGGAGGCAGCAGUGAGGAAUAUUGGUCAAUGGGCGGAAGCCUGAACCAGCCAAGUAGCGUGCAGGAUGACGGCCCUAUGGGUUGUAAGCUGCUUUUAUACAGGAAUAAAGUUAGCCACGUGUGGUUAUUUGUAGGUACUGUAUGAAUAAGGACCGGCUAAUUCCGUGCCAGCCGCCGCGGUAA